Non-coding RNA from Acanthosepion pharaonis, 85 nucleotides. Lineage: Eukaryota; Metazoa; Mollusca; Cephalopoda; Sepiida; Sepiidae. The record is from the annotation of a GenBank genome assembly.
UUCCUAUACGAUCACCAAAGUUAAGCAACGUAGAGUUUGGUUAGUACUUAAAUUGGUAACCGCUUGGGAAUACCAGGCGUUGUAU